AUGAACGCUAGCGACAGGCCUAACACAUGCAAGUCGAGGGGCAGCGACAAGGAGCAAUCUGAGGUGGCGACCGGCGCACGGGUGAGUAACACGUAUGCAACCUGCCUGUAAGCGGGGAAUAACCCGUUGAAAGACGGACUAAUACCGCAUAAUACUAAAUUACUGCAUGGUAAUUUAUUUAAACAUUUAUGGCUUACAGAUGGGCAUGCGCAUGAUUAGCUAGUUGGAGAGGUAACGGCUCCCCAAGGCAACGAUCAUUAGGGGUUCUGAGAGGAAGGUCCCCCACACUGGUACUGAGACACGGACCAGACUCCUACGGGAGGCAGCAGUGAGGAAUAUUGGUCAAUGGACGAGAGUCUGAACCAGCCAAGUCGCGUGCAGGAAGAAUGUCCCUAUGGAUUGUAAACUGCUUUUGCAGGGGAAUAAAGUGCAUCACGUGUGAUGUUUUGUAUGUACUCUGCGAAUAAGGAUCGGCUAACUCCGUGCCAGCCGCAGC
This 496-nucleotide ribosomal RNA is filed under the name uncultured bacterium. Its description in RNAcentral is "bacterial SSU rRNA". It matches the Rfam family "Bacterial small subunit ribosomal RNA", at positions 29 to 518 of the family's 1533-position model. The record is from RNAcentral.